This 282-nucleotide signal recognition particle RNA is filed under the name Zostera marina. RNAcentral describes it as "Plant signal recognition particle RNA". It matches the Rfam family "Plant signal recognition particle RNA". The record is from Rfam by way of RNAcentral. Lineage: Eukaryota; Viridiplantae; Streptophyta; Magnoliopsida; Alismatales; Zosteraceae.
GCUGAGCUUUUUAACGCGAGCUUGUAACCAAGUGGAGUAUUAAGGUGUUUGGAUAAUUUGGAACUGAAUCUAAGGUUGGCUUGUGAACUAUAUCUGGUCUGCCAACUUUCCAAGUUGGGUAGUAAAUCUUAUGUGUUGAGCUAAAGUUUAAAGCAUAUUGUUCUUAUAAUUGAGGGUAAUGCGUGAGGCUGUCUUCACAGAGCAGCGAUUACCUCAUUCUCUCAACGGUGGAAGGAUAACAGAUCAAACAUUUUUAUUUUUUUAUCAAAUGAAAACAUAUUU